RNAcentral lists this ribosomal RNA (207 nucleotides) under uncultured bacterium. Its description in RNAcentral is "partial 16S ribosomal RNA". It matches the Rfam family "Bacterial small subunit ribosomal RNA", at positions 568 to 774 of the family's 1533-position model. The record is from RNAcentral.
CGCGUAGGCGGGAUGGCAAGUCGGUCGUGAAAUCCUUCGGCUCAACCGAAGAACGUCGGCCGAUACUGCCGUUCUUGAGGGAUGCAGAGGAGAUUGGAAUUCCCGGUGUAGCGGUGAAAUGUGUAGAGAUCGGGAGGAACACCGGUGGCGAAGGCGGGUCUCUGGGCAUCUUCUGACGCUGAGGCGCGAAAGCGUGGGGAGCAAACG